This 494-nucleotide ribosomal RNA is filed under the name uncultured bacterium. RNAcentral describes it as "partial 16S ribosomal RNA". It matches the Rfam family "Bacterial small subunit ribosomal RNA", at positions 28 to 507 of the family's 1533-position model. The record is from RNAcentral.
GACGAACGCUGGCGGCGUGCUUAACACAUGCAAGUCGAACGGAAAGGCCUGCUUUCCCUUGUGGAUUGCGGGUACUCGCGUGGCGAACGGGUGAGUAACACGUGAGUGAUCUGCCCCCAACUUGGGUAUAAGCCUGGGAAACUGGGUCUAAUUCCCGAUAGGACUGCAGGGUGGUGCCUGUGGUGGAAAACGAUUUUCUAGUGGUUGGGGAUGAGCUCGCGGCCUAUCAGCUUGUUGGUGGGGUAAUGGCCUACCAAGGCGGCGACGGGUAGCCGGCCUGGGGGGGUGGACGGCCACAUGUGGACUGAGAUACGGCCCAGACUCGUACGGGAGGCAGCAGUGGGGAAUAAUGCACGAUGGGCGGAAGCCUGAUGCAGCGACGCCGAGUGGGGGAUGACGGCCUUCGGGUUGUAAACUCCUUUCGACCGCGAGGAAGCCACCUGGAUGGAAGGGUGGUGACGGUAGUGGUAGAAGAAGCACCGGCUAACUACGUG